GUACACACAGUGGAGCCGAUUUCCGCGAUGGCGAGAGGGGGCACCGGAGGUGACAACAAUAACAAGACUGUCCUUCGGACAAGUUUUAGCGCUGAAUAUCUUCAGGAAAAUGGGUUCCAUGAGAAGUGACAUCCUCCUCGAAUCAAAAGAUUCUCAGGAUGAUGGAGUGAGUGAUGGAAUAGGUUGCCAACUGUAGUUACUCCACUCAGCACAGAAUGGCUGCGGGGAAAUAUAAUCAGACAUGCCCAAAGAAGUCUGCUUAGGGUGAAACAAAUACCUUUGAGGUUUAAAUCAGGUGUGUAAAGAAUAUUGGAAACAUGACUUGUUUUGUUUUUGUUUUUGCAUUUGUGUUUGUCAAGAAAAGUAGAAAGGCUGAUGCUUCUUGCCUGUUUUUCCAACUCUUUUAAUGCUAUAAAAUGCACCCCAAAUUUAACCCAUUCUCUCUCCUAGGAUUUGAUAUACCCAGUUUACUCCCUUGAAGGUCCUCUAUCUCAUCAAAGCUUUAGAUUUUAAAAGCAUGAUUGUAUAUUUUUAUUUUCAAAAAGAUUUUGAUUUUGGAGAUAUUUUAAAAUUGGAAAUUGAACUCAGAUAGGCUUUACCAUUUGUCUGUUUUCUUAGAAGAAUAAAUGCUAUUUGCAAUAUAAGAGUUAGCUGCCAGAAACCUAAGAAAGUUAUGUUCAAAUUAUUUUUACAAAUAGAUGUUCACAUCACCUUUAAACAGUAGUAAUGGCUCAGAAAAAAUCAAGCAAAGUUAACAUCUUUAAAAAAAUACAAACCACAUUGCUUUACAGGAUGAGGUUGUGCUUAAUAACGUAUGCUUAAUUCAUUCAGAAACUACACGAUUUUUGUUGCUAUAUUUUGUUAGAAAGGAAGGAGAGACUGUUUCUACAGGUGUCAUACAAAAAUCAAUACUGAGCCAAGGAUUAUUGGAUCCCAUAGAACCACGGAGACUUGGUAGUGAAAUUCUUCCAAAGGUGAGUAGGGGCAUUGAUUUCCUUUCCCAUGCCUGCAGAAAUAUGACACAAUUAACAGAGGCUAAGUUUAGACAGGAAAUAAGUCUGAUUUGAAACUGUACUGUAAAAGAAUUAGUGAUACUUUUUUCAAACAAAUAAAUGAGAAAAUGUAAGUAGAAUUUCAACAUAUACAUUUCUCUUAUUUAUUUUCUUAGAUUCUUUUCUUUAUUCUCUUGGGUACUUUUGAAAAAUAAACCACCAAAAAUGGACUCCUUGACUGACAUUUUAUCUGUAAUUCAGAUCCUGUGAUUUCCACGUGGAAUACUUGCAUUAUACGAUAUAAAAGAGUCUCUCUCUUAAACCUAUAACCAAGAAUGCAGCAACCCGUCAGUUUCCAAGAAAAAGCAUAUUAUCUACAUAAUCACAAUCACACUUACAAAUAUGAGCCCAUCACUAACCUUCCUUAUUUAAGCUAUGUAUUUUUCCAGCUAAUUUGUGCUAUAAUUUUUAGACACAAACUUGUUUGUUUACAUAUUUUACAGUUUUUUCUAGAUUUCUUAAAGCUAAAAAACUAUACAUAACAUACUGAUUGUUUGACUGCAUUACUUAGCAUUCCAUCCGUGCAGGCAGAUGGUGUUCCUAGGUUUGGAAAUAUAAAUCCCAUGGGAAGUCAGCUGAAGACCAUUUUAUGCAUCACUCAUCCUGUUAGAGCCCUGUGCUGUUCUGUCUCUCUAUAAGACUGGCUGAAACCACCACGGUUGUUUACAAUUUAUGCUCUAACUUUGGAUCACCUAGUUAAUACUCUAACUCCGAUUAUUACCAAAGACAAUGUUCUAUAAAAGAUAUUGUCUAUUAGAAGGAUGCUUCUGCAUUAUUAAUAAAAUCACAGGGAAAAUGCAACAUUUUGGAUGUCACAUCUGAUAAGUUGGCAGUUAAAGAACAGAAACAGCAAUAAGACUGCGUGGCUACAUUUUCCCAGUGCCACCAACUGGGAUUUAAGCUGACUAACAUUUUGAAAGCCCAGCCCAUUUCAUUCACAGCAGGAUGGCAGUGGGUGACUGAUCGUACCCGCCAGCUGGCUAAUGUCAUAAUUAACAAAGUUGCUACUACAUCUGCAAAGUUUAAUCGAAAAAUUUGCCAGUGAUAUGAUGGCCUUGUCACAGAGAUCACAAGGGACACGGAGUUGACUUUUGCUCAAGGUGGAACGACAGAGCUGUGUAGGCAAGAUGAGAAAUUGCGAACUUGUUCGGCCAAAGGAGGCUAAUAAUGAAGGGGCCGGGAAGGAGGCCAGUGCUACCAGGGUUAUCUCACAACCUCAGAUGCUGGAUAAGUCGACGGAGGCAGAAUCGCUUUGGGAUGACAUUCAGAAAGCCUGGAGUGAUUACUUGCAAGAGAAAAGCCUACCUAUUCUUUCCAAGGUGCAGGAAUAUUCCCCUGACCUGCUCAUCCAGUGGUCCAGUAAUGAAUUACUGGAGACCUGCCUUAGACAAAGAAUGCACUCGGAGCCCCAACACACCUAAAGCCAUGCUUUGAAGGAUCUGCCAAGCUCACUUUUAAUCAUGAGAAAGAAAUUACCCACACGGAGUCAGCAGAAAAUGAGAAAGUAGAGCUCGUGCUGUGAAUAAUUCCAGCAAGUGCCAAGGGGCUAGUUGAGGAAUGGCUUCAUGAGAACAUGCUCUAGGGGAACUAUUAAUAGCCCACCAGUCGGGUAGGCAGCAUUCAAUCCUUCUAUGCCUUCUUUCGCCACCUGUUGAGGUCUUUCUUCUGAAACAAAGAAGAAAUAGACAAAUCAGACUUGCCCUCUUGGAAAUGUGGUCCAGAUUUCUCUACUCCCAAGCUCCAAAAAAGGUAUACAUUGGAUGGGCUAGAUCAACUCCUCCUGAGAGCCAUAAAUCCGCCAAGAGUUGUUUUCCAUGUAAGGGUGUGGUACAAUGGGGAACACCUGAUGUUGGAGGAAAGCAGGAGGACUUUAGAGUGGAGUUGCAUUCUAAUCUCUCUGCCGCUUCAACUAUGUGACCUGGGGCAAAUGAUAUAAACUCUAUGAGCCUCUUUCCUUAUCUUUAAAAUGAAGAGAAGUAAUACCUACCUUGUAGGGCUGUUGUGAGGAUUAAAUGAAGUAAUGCAUACAGUGCCUAACAAAGUAUUUAACAUCAUAUUUUUUAAAAGCUCAUGAAAUAUUAGUUUUUCUUCCUUCCCCUCUUUCUAUUUUCUCUCCUGUUCCCUUUUCUCUCCCUCCUCUGCCCUCUCCUUCCUUCAGAUGUUAGUCUAAAACAGCACCUUGGAUCUAAGCAGCACCUUUGAGAAAGAAAAGACUGCUUCAAGAAUGUCUAGUUGCACCUCCUUUCCGUAUGUGGCCUAAAUGCCUAGGUUGGAUCAAUAGUUUAAUUUUUUUAUUGAACUGUUUAAUAUUGACUAUGGACUUACAUUCACUUUUACUGUUUUCUGUAUAUUUACUUUUGCUUGAAGUGUUUUAAUAUUGACUAUUUACCUC
Homo sapiens (human) is the source of this 3444-nucleotide long non-coding RNA. Lineage: Eukaryota; Metazoa; Chordata; Mammalia; Primates; Hominidae. The record is from Ensembl.